RNAcentral lists this ribosomal RNA (252 nucleotides) under uncultured microorganism. RNAcentral's name for it is "partial 16S ribosomal RNA". It matches the Rfam family "Bacterial small subunit ribosomal RNA", at positions 524 to 776 of the family's 1533-position model. The record is from RNAcentral.
UACGUAGGUCCCGAGCGUCGUCCGGAUUUAUUGGGCGUAAAGCGAGCGCAGGUGGUUUAAUAAGUCUGAUGUAAAAGGCAGUGGCUCAACCAUUGUGUGCAUUGGAAACUGGUAGACUUGAGUGCAGGAGAGGAGAGUGGAAUUCCAUGUGUAGCGGUGAAAUGCGUAGAUAUAUGGAGGAACACCGGUGGCGAAAGCGGCUCUCUGGCCUGUAACUGACACUGAGGCUCGAAAGCGUGGGGAGCAAACAGG